This 466-nucleotide ribosomal RNA is filed under the name uncultured bacterium. Its description in RNAcentral is "partial 16S ribosomal RNA". It matches the Rfam family "Bacterial small subunit ribosomal RNA", at positions 28 to 505 of the family's 1533-position model. The record is from RNAcentral.
GACGAACGCUGGCGGCGUGCUUAACACAUGCAAGUCGAACGGAAAGGCCCUGCUUUUGUGGGGUGCUCGAGUGGCGAACGGGUGAGUAACACGUGAGUAACCUGCCCUUGACUUUGGGAUAACUUCAGGAAACUGGGGCUAAUACCGGAUAGGAGCUCCUGCUGCAUGGUGGGGGUUGGAAAGUUUCGGCGGUUAGGGAUGGACUCGCGGCUUAUCAGCUUGUUGGUGGGGUAGUGGCUUACCAAGGCUUUGACGGGUAGCCGGCCUGAGAGGGUGACCGGCCAAAUUGGGACUGAGAUACGGCACAGACUCCUACGGGAGACAGCAGUGGGGAAUAUUGCAGAAGGGGCGGAAGGCUGAUGAAGCAACGCCGCGUGCGGAAUGACGGCUUUCGGGUAGUAAACCGCUUCCGGAUGAGACGAAGGGUGAGGGACGGCAAUGAGUAAAGAAGAAACCGGGAACGACG